Molecule: ribosomal RNA, 253 nt
Filed under: uncultured bacterium
Lineage: Bacteria
Description: partial 16S ribosomal RNA
Rfam family: Bacterial small subunit ribosomal RNA
Source: RNAcentral
UACGAAGGGUGCAAACGUUGCUCGGAAUCAUUGGGCGUAAAGCGCACGUAGGCGGCCUCAUAAGUCGGAUGUGAAAUCCCUCGGCUCAACCGAGGACGUGCAUCCGAAACUGUGAAGCUCGAGUAUGGAAGAGGGUCGCGGAAUUCCCGGUGUAGAGGUGAAAUUCGUAGAUAUCGGGAGGAACACCAGUGGCGAAGGCGGCGACCUGGGCCAAUACUGACGCUGAGGAGCGAAAGCGUGGGGAGCAAACAGG